This 113-nucleotide small nuclear RNA is filed under the name Chrysemys picta bellii (western painted turtle). Its description in RNAcentral is "U4 spliceosomal RNA (ENSCPBG00000012154.1)". It matches the Rfam family "U4 spliceosomal RNA". Rfam says of the family: U4 small nuclear RNA (U4 snRNA) is a component of the major U2-dependent spliceosome. The structure of U4 snRNA from yeast and human has been reported. The record is from RNAcentral. Lineage: Eukaryota; Metazoa; Chordata; Testudines; Emydidae.
AUAAUUAUGUUUGUGGCAGUAUCGUAGCCAAUGAGGUUAAUCCGAGGCGCGAUUAUUGCUAGUUGAAAACUUUUCCUUUUGUUUAAUUCAAGUCAUUUCUGGGGUAUAAAUCU